This 249-nucleotide ribosomal RNA is filed under the name uncultured bacterium. RNAcentral describes it as "partial 16S ribosomal RNA". It matches the Rfam family "Bacterial small subunit ribosomal RNA", at positions 1253 to 1500 of the family's 1533-position model. The record is from RNAcentral.
ACAAGCGAUGUGGAGCGAAUCCAGAAAAUAAUGUCCCAGUUCAGAUUGCAGGCUGCAACUCGCCUGCAUGAAGUCGGAAUUGCUAGUAAUCGCAGAUCAGCAUGCCGCGGUGAAUACGUUCCCGGGCCUUGUACACACCGCCCGUCACACCAUGGGAGUUUGUAACGCCCAAAGUCGGUGGCCUAACCUUUAUGGAGGGAGCCGCCUAAGGCGGGACAGAUGACUGGGGUGAAGUCGUAACAAGGUAAC